CAGCAGCCACGGGAAUACGGAGGAUCCAAGCGUUAUCCGGAAUCAUUGGGUUUAAAGGGUCCGUAGGCGGUCUUGUAAGUCAGUGGUGAAAGCCCAUCGCUCAACGGUGGAACGGCCAUUGAUACUGCAGGACUUGAAUUAUUGGGAAGUAACUAGAAUAUGUAGUGUAGCGGUGAAAUGCUUAGAGAUUACAUGGAAUACCAAUUGCGAAGGCAGGUUACUACCAAUUGAUUGACGCUGAUGGACGAAAGCGUGGGUAGCGAACAGGAUUAGAGACCCCGGUAGUCCCUGUCUCUUAUAC
RNAcentral lists this ribosomal RNA (301 nucleotides) under uncultured bacterium. RNAcentral's name for it is "partial 16S ribosomal RNA". It matches the Rfam family "Bacterial small subunit ribosomal RNA", at positions 509 to 807 of the family's 1533-position model. The record is from RNAcentral.